GUGUACGAGUGGUACAUGCCGGAUUUCGAGCACCGGCCGCGCCCGCCUAGCGGUGAACGCAGUCGUUUUGUUAGCC
This 76-nucleotide small RNA is filed under the name Xanthomonas arboricola pv. pruni. Its description in RNAcentral is "sX9". Lineage: Bacteria; Pseudomonadati; Pseudomonadota; Gammaproteobacteria; Lysobacterales; Lysobacteraceae. The record is from RNAcentral.